GAUGAACGCUAGCUACAGGCUUAACACAUGCAAGUCGAGGGGCAGCAUGACGGAAGCUUGCUUCCGUUGAUGGCGACCGGCGCACGGGUGAGUAACGCGUAUCCAACCUGCCCUUGUCCAUCGGAUAACCCGUCGAAAGGCGGACUAACACGAUAUGCAGUUCUCAGCAGGCAUCUAACGAGAACGAAAUGUGAAGGAGAAGGAUGGGGAUGCGUCUGAUUAGCUUGUUGGCGGGGUAACGGCCCACCAAGGCGACGAUCAGUAGGGGUUCUGAGAGGAAGGGCCCCCACGUUGGAACGGAGACACGGUCCAAACUCCUACGGGAGGCAGCAGUGAGGAAUAUUGGUCAAUGGGCGAGAGCCUGAACCAGCCAAGUAGCGUGCAGGAUGACGGCCCUAUGGGUUGUAAACUGCUUUUAUACGGGGAUAAAGUGGGCCACGUGUGGCUUAUUGCAGGUACCGUAUGAAUAAGGACCGGCUAAUUCCGUGCCAGCAGCCGCCGUAA
RNAcentral lists this ribosomal RNA (504 nucleotides) under uncultured bacterium. Its description in RNAcentral is "partial 16S ribosomal RNA". It matches the Rfam family "Bacterial small subunit ribosomal RNA", at positions 28 to 523 of the family's 1533-position model. The record is from RNAcentral.